Molecule: long non-coding RNA, 2022 nt
Organism: Corapipo altera (White-ruffed manakin)
Lineage: Eukaryota; Metazoa; Chordata; Aves; Passeriformes; Pipridae
Exons: 6
Source: RefSeq, a predicted model, not a curated record
UAGCGCGCUUGGUGAAUACGGGCCGGCGGCGCCCGCGCGGGGGGUGCCUGUAAACAAUGGUGCCCCCCCUGCGCCGCGCUCCCUUACCGAUUCCUCCUCCUUCUCCAUCCCCGUGGGCAUCUGCGGCACGGCCCGGUUGAUGGAGACGCAGUCGUUGAGAAUCACACAAUAUUUAGGGUUGGAAGGGACCUCUGGAGAUCAUCCAGUUCAACCAGGGGCACCCAGAGCAGGUGAUACAGGAAAGCAUCCGGCAAAUACAACUACCGUUCUUGACAAACACAUGAUUUACAAAAUGAAGAAUAAAGAAUUGUGUCAGCUAGAGAGAGAGAGAAGGCAGAUGAAACAAGCACAGUAAUACACAGGAGGCAAAAAGAAAGAGGAAGAACAUUACGUUCAUCAGCCACGGACCCAAAUUAGCUUGGGAAAGAGAUGUGGAAAUUGGAUUAACUCCUAUGAAAACAUCAGGGAAUUAUUAGUGCCCAAAGGACUCACCUGCAGCAUGGACCUGGAUGUGGAGGUGGCUGGAAAAGCCUUUGUUCCCCAUCCCACUCUGUACCUGGUUUAGCUCCCUUCCCAGCUGGGCCCAACCCACGGCUCAGCCCUGGAUCAUUCCCUCAUCAGGAUCCAUUCCUGCCUGGAAUUCUGAAACACCAGUGACAGUGGUUCUCUUGGACUUGUGUCAACCUGUGCCAGUGCUUUCCUGGGAUCUGGACACAGGAAUAUGUGAGGAUGCUCUUGCUCUUCCUUUCCCCACCCUGCUUUGUCCCGUUUUUGCAGCUGACACCAGCCAAAGGUUUUCUGUCAGAACACGAAGAAAAUCCACUGGAAUAAAUGAAAAGAUUUUCGUUGUUGUUCCGUUUAUGGUGUUCACAAAACGCACCAUAACAGAAAGAGGAAUUAUUUCCUUUAAUUUGAACGUCAUCUGAAUGACUCAACCACAUUGUCACCCACUCAGCAAAAAGAAAGCAUAAUAAAUAAAUAAAUAAAUAGACAAGAAUACGUAACACUUUUACAUCCUCAAGGAAUCACGUCGUUCCCUAAAAUCUACCGAGGUCCUGAUCGACGCCGUGGGCUCGCUGUACUCAGCCACUUCACUUUGGGGUGAUUGUGCCAUAUUAAUGACAAAUAAAGGGGUGUUCCACUUGCCACAAUGGAGUAUUUUUCCUUUUUUUUUUUUUUUUUUUUUUUUUUCCCCCCCUCCUCCUUUUAAAUAUAGGAAUUCUCUCUUAAAUUAGAAAGUAGGCAAAAAGUACUUUUUUUUUUUUUAAAUUUUCCUUUUUUUUUUUUUAAGUCUUCUAUUAGAAAAAAUAGAGAUUUCUUAAACAAAAAAAUAAUAAGGUAGAAAGAGAAGGGUUGGGCCUCCAUCAAAAAAGUAGAUUAUGCUUUAAUGCAAAGAGAAAGAAAUGGCUCUACGGGCAAAAUUCAAGUAUGAGUGACCAGUUUUUUUAAUUGUAAAGUCGGUGCAACAUUUUUUGAAAAUGUUACAACACUGCACGACCUGUAACGCUCACAAUAUUUACAGGAACUGCUUACACGAAACCAGGAAAACUCGGCAAGAGAGGAGAAAAAAAAAAAAUCGGUCUGGACUGAAAGCAAACUACUCCUGCCCCCCCAGCAAUGCCGUCAUCCACCGAGGGGAGCCACGGAAACACCGGGGAGCACAACACCUAAACGCUCCCAGGAGCUUGGACACAGCUCUGGGAUGGGAUGGGAGGCAGCGGGGGCUCAGGGAGCCACGGACACGCCCGAGGGACACCGGCGACCGGAGCGACGCGGGACGGAAAAACGGGAGCCACUGCACCCCAAAACAGCGGGAAUGGGAACCCAGCGGAGCAGGGCCAUGGAGCUGCCCCAUGGAGCUGCCCCAUGGAGCCGUGGGGUCCCGUCCGGGCCGGAGGGGACGAGCCCGGAGGAGCCCAGAGUCCAACCUACAGCAUCCUACCGGAAAAGCUACGGAAAGCAAAAGCAACCGACGGCUGCGGCCUUGGAAUUCUCCAGCAGAGCUGCGAUCCCACAUCCCAU